This 3768-nucleotide long non-coding RNA is filed under the name Arachis ipaensis. RNAcentral's name for it is "long non-coding RNA (AIPA_LNC002325)". Lineage: Eukaryota; Viridiplantae; Streptophyta; Magnoliopsida; Fabales; Fabaceae. The record is from RNAcentral.
CUUAUGAGUACAAGUCACCACCUCCUCCACCAAUUGAGCACAAACCACCACCUUAUGAGUAUAAAUCACCACCUCCACCACCACAUGAGCACAAGGCUCCUCCGUACGAGUAUAAGUCACCCCCUCCGCCAUCACCAUCACCUCCACCACCUUAUGAGUAUAAAUCACCACCUCCACCACCACAUGAGCACAAGGCUCCUCCGUACGAGUAUAAGUCACCCCCUCCGCCAUCACCAUCACCUCCACCACCUUAUGAGUAUAAAUCACCACCUCCACCACCACAUGAGCACAAGGCUCCUCCGUACGAGUAUAAGUCACCCCCUCCGCCAUCACCAUCACCACCACCUCCUUAUGAGUAUAAAUCACCACCUCCCCCACCACAUGAGCACAAGGCUCCUCCGUACGAGUAUAUUUCACCACCCCCACCAUCACCAUCACCACCACCUCCUUAUGAGUAUAAAUCACCACCUCCACCACCACAUGAGCACAAGGCUCCUCCUUAUGAGUACAAGUCACCACCACCUCCAUACGUAUACAAGUCACCACCUCCACCACCAUAUGAACACAAGGUUCCUCCCUACGAGUACAAGUCACCACCUCCACCAUCACCAUCACCACCACCUCCUUACAUAUACAAAUCACCACCUCCACCACCACCAUAUGAGCAUAAGUCUCCUCCUUAUGUGUACAAGUCCCCUCCCCCACCACCAUAUGAGCACAAGUCUCCACCUUACGUAUAUAAGUCACCCCCUCCUCCUUCACCGUCACCACCACCCCCAUAUGUAUAUAAGUCACCACCACCUCCACCACCAUACGAGCAUAAGUCUCCUCCUUAUGUGUACAAGUCACCUCCUCCUCCACCACCAUAUGAACACAAAUCUCCACCCUACUAUUACAGCUCUCCUCCUCCACCUCCUUACUACUAUAAAUCUCCCCCACCACCUUCACCAUCUCCUCCACCACCUUAUUAUUAUGAGUCUCCACCACCACCAGUAAAGUCUCCAUCUCCAAAGCCUUACUAUUAUAAAUCUCCUCCACCACCAUCUCCUGUACCCCAUCCACCUUACUACUACAACUCUCCUCCUCCACCAUCUCCUUCACCUCCUCCACCUUACUAUUAUAAUUCUCCACCACCUCCUUCACCGUCUCCUCCACCACCGUACUACUAUAAAUCUCCUCCUCCUCCAUCUCCUAAACCGCACCCCCCUUACUACUAUAACUCUCCACCACCUCCAGUAAAAUCUCCACCUCAUCCAACACCUUACUACUACAAAUCUCCACCACCACCCACUCCAUACUAUUAUAAUUCUCCUCCUCCACCUGUCGUGUAUCCUCCACAUCCCCACCAUCACCCAUUGAUUGUGAAGGUUGUGGGCAAAGUCUACAGCUAUAAGUGCUAUGACUGGGAGUAUCCUGAAAAGUCACACAACAAGAAGCAUCUCAAAGGUACACGACAUUCUCUACGUCAUUUUUUAGUUCGAAAGUCUUAUUAUUGUUACAAUUGAAUUGUCAAUUCUUAUGCUUUUGAGCAUUGCUCGUUAUUAUCUUCAUUUGGCAUUCACUUUUUUUCGUUAGAGAAUGCACGUCUUUGUCUAGUAGAACUUGUGCUUCAUUUUACACAAGCAUUUGCUAUUAGUACUCACAGUAUUUUGUCGCUAAACUUUUCGUGAUGCUUGCAGUUCCAAUCAUAUUAGAUAACUCUAGAGCAUGUAGAAAUUAAAUGUUAGAAUGCAUUAACUUAAUUUAUCUUGAACCGACCACCUAAUCGGAAAACCAAAAUGAAUGCAUUAAUAUUUGAUGCUUAAAUUAGUAAAGUGUCAAUUAGACUUUUUAAUAAUGUAUAGAAUUGGAGAACCUUUUGUUACAGUUGAUAGGUAAGAUACAAUCAAUGUCUCAAUGUACAUUCACCAUCACAUUACUAAAAAAGAACCUUUUCUUAUUCAAAACUGGUUGUAGCAUGUAAUUAACACCAACACUCAACAUGAAAAUGAUAGUUUUCUUUUUCUUCAUAAAUAAACAUGAAAAGGAUAGUUUAACUCGAGAUUCUUUUUAUAAUUUGCUCCAAUAUAAUAUCUUUGGUGGAUUUAUGAUAUCUUGUCGUAUUAUUGUUUGCUAAUUGUAAUAUUUCAAUUAUGGAUCAGGUGCUGUUGUGGAGGUCAAAUGCAAAGCAGGCAGACACAUCAUCAAGGCUUACGGGGAAACUAAGAGCAAUGGAAAGUAUAGCAUUACAGUUAAGGACUUUGACUAUGCUAAAUAUGGCUCCAGGGUAUGCAAGGCUAGGUUACAUGCUCCACCUAAGAACUCACCCUUCAACAUACCCACUAAGCUAAACGAAGGAACCGACUUGAAGGUGAAAUCAAAGGACAAAUAUGAAGUUGUGCUUGAAGCUAAGCCAUUUGCCUAUGCUUCAAAGAAACAUUUUGAAGAAUGUGAAAAAUCCAAGCCUUCACCAACUCCCUACUAUUAUAAAUCACCACCACCUCCAUCACCGGUUUACAUAUACAAGUCUCCACCUCCACCAUCACCUACAUAUGUAUACAAGUCACCACCUCCACCAGUUCACCACUAUUCUCCUCCGUACUAUUACCAAUCCCCACCACCACCUUCACCAAAACCCAAUCCUCCAUAUUACUACCAAUCCCCACCUCCACCUUCACCAAAACCCAAGCCUCCGUACUACUACCAAUCUCCACCUCCACCAACACCAGUAGUAAAGCCACCUUACUACUACCAAUCUCCACCUCCACCAUCACCGGUACCCAAACCUCCAUACUACUACCAAUCACCACCUCCACCAUCACCAAAACCCAAGCCUCCAUACUACUACCAAUCCCCACCUCCACCAACACCAGUAGUAAAGCCACCUUACUACUACCAAUCUCCACCUCCACCAUCACCGGUACCCAAACCUCCAUACUACUACCAAUCACCACCUCCACCAUCACCAAAACCCAAGCCUCCAUACUACUACCAAUCCCCACCUCCUCCAUCACCAGUACCUAAGCCUCCAUACUACUACCAAUCUCCACCACCCCCAUCACCAGUACCCAAGCCUCCAUACUAUUACCAAUCUCCACCUCCACCUUCACCGAAACCCAAGCCUCCGUACUAUUACCAAUCCCCACCACCACCUUCACCAAAACCAAAGCCUCCGUACUAUUACCAAUCCCCACCUCCACCAUCGCCAGUACCCAAGCCUCCGUACUACUACCAAUCUCCGCCUCCACCAUCACCGGUACCUAAACCUCCAUACUACUACCAAUCUCCACCUCCACCAUCACCAGUAACAAAGCCUCCGUACUAUUACCAAUCUCCGCCUCCACCAUCACCGGUACCUAAACCUCCAUACUACUAUCAAUCUCCACCUCCACCUUCACCAAAACCCAAGCCUCCGUACUAUUACCAAUCCCCACCUCCACCUUCACCUAAACCCAAGCCUCCUUACUACUACCAAUCCCCACCUCCUCCGUCACCGGUGCCUAAACCUCCAUACUAUUACCAAUCUCCACCUCCACCAUCACCAUCACCCCCACCACCUUAUUAUUACCAUUCUCCUCCUCCACCAUCACCAUCUCCCCCUCCUCCUUACUACUAUAAGAGUCCUCCCCCACCAUCUCCAUCACCUCCUCCUCCAUACUAUUAUAAAUCUCCACCACCACCUAAAGAAUUGCCACACCCUCCUUACUAUUAUAAGUCACCACCCCCACCAUCACCAUCACCUCCUCAUCCAUACUAUUACAAAUCUCCUCCACCACCGUCACCAUCUCC